AUUGAACGCUGGCGGCAUGCCUUACACAUGCAAGUCGAACGGUAACAGGUUAAGCUGACGAGUGGCGAACGGGUGAGUAAUACAUCAGAACGUGCCCAGUAGUGGGGGAUAGCCCGGCGAAAGCCGGAUUAAUACCGCAUACGACCUAAGGGUGAAAGGGGGGGAUCGCAAGACCUCUCGCUAUUGGAGCGGCCGAUGUCAGAUUAGCUAGUUGGUGGGGUAAAAGCUCACCAAGGCGACGAUCUGUAGCUGGUCUGAGAGGACGACCAGCCACACUGGGACUGAGACACGGCCCAGACUCCUACGGGAGGCAGCAGUGGGGAAUUUUGGACAAUGGGCGCAAGCCUGAUCCAGCCAUGCCGCGUGCGGGAAGAAGGCCUUCGGGUUGUAAACCGCUUUUGUCAGGGAAGAAAUCCUUUGGGUUAAUACCUCGGGGGGAUGACGGUACCUGAAGAAUAAGCACCGGCUAACUACGUG
RNAcentral lists this ribosomal RNA (477 nucleotides) under uncultured bacterium. RNAcentral's name for it is "partial 16S ribosomal RNA". It matches the Rfam family "Bacterial small subunit ribosomal RNA", at positions 30 to 507 of the family's 1533-position model. The record is from RNAcentral.